GUAUUCGCCGGGCCUAUAAUGCAAGUCGACGAAGCAGCAAUGCUUAGUGGCGCACGGGUGCGUAACGCGUAUGUAACCUACCUUUUACUGGGGGAUAACUUCUCGAAAGAGAAGCUAAUACCGCAUAAUGCAUUAAGGUCACCUGGUCUAAAUGUUAAAGAUUUAUUGGUAAAAGAUGGGCAUGCGUCCAAUUAGCUAGUUGGUAGUGUAACGGACUACCAAGGCUACGAUUGGUAGGGGGUCUGAGAGGAUGGUCCCCCACACUGGUACUGAGAUACGGACCAGACUCCUACGGGAGGCAGCAGUAGGGAAUAUUGGGCAAUGGACGAAAGUCUGACCCAGCCAUGCCGCGUGCAGGAUGAAGGCCCUCUGGGUUGUAAACUGCUUUUGACAGGGAAGAAAUACACCAUGCGUGGUGAGCUGACGGUACCUGUAGAAUAAGCACCGGCUAACUCCGUGCCAGCAGCCGCGGUAAUACGGAGGGUGCAAGCGUUGUCCGGAUUUAUCGGGUUUAAAGGGUGCGUAGGCGGUUUUGUAAGUCAGUGGUGAAAGCUAGCAGCUUAACUGUUAAACUGCCAUUGAUACUGCAAAGCUUGAGUUCAGAUGAGGUAGGCGGAAUUUAUAGUGUAGCGGUGAAAUGCUUAGAUACUAUAAAGAACUCCGAUAGCGUAGGCAGCUUACUAAACUGAUACUGACGCUGAGGCACGAAAGUGUGGGGAUCAAACAGGAUUAGAUACCCUGGUAGUCCACACUGUAAACGAUGAUUACUCGUUGUUGGCGAUGUUACAGCCAGCGACUUAGGGAAACCGUUAAGUAAUCCACCUGGGGAGUACGUUCGCAAGGAUGAAACUCAAAGGAAUUGACGG
RNAcentral lists this ribosomal RNA (866 nucleotides) under uncultured Bacteroidota bacterium. RNAcentral's name for it is "bacterial SSU rRNA". It matches the Rfam family "Bacterial small subunit ribosomal RNA", at positions 35 to 916 of the family's 1533-position model. The record is from RNAcentral. Lineage: Bacteria; Pseudomonadati; Bacteroidota.